Molecule: ribosomal RNA, 736 nt
Filed under: uncultured Archaeospora
Lineage: Eukaryota; Fungi; Glomeromycota; Glomeromycetes; Archaeosporales; Archaeosporaceae
Description: LSU rRNA
Rfam family: Eukaryotic large subunit ribosomal RNA
Source: RNAcentral
UAAGCGGAGGAAAAGAAACUAACAAUGAUUCCCUUAGUAACGGCGAGUGAAGGGGGAAAAGCUCAAAUUUUAAAUCGGCAUAGGUUUACCUAGUCGAGUUGUAAUUUGAAGAAGCGUUUACCGCAUCCAGGUCGGCCCAAAUCCUUUGGGAUAAGGUAUCAUGGAGGGUGAGAAUCCCGUCCGGUUGACCUCAGGAUGUUUUACGUUACGCUCUCUAAGAGUCGAGUUGUUUGGGAUUGCAGCUCAAAAUGGGAGGUAAAUUUCUCCUAAGGCUAAAUACAGGCGAGAGACCGAUAGCGAACAAGUACCGUGAGGGAAAGAUGAAAAGAACUUUGAAAAGAGAGUUAAAUAGUACGUGAAAUUGUUGAUAGGGAAACGAUUGAAGUCAGUCAUGCCGGUGGAAAAUCAACUUAUGGACUACUAUGAGUGCACUUUUUCGCAAGGCAGGUUAACAUCGGUUUUUGUUGCGUCAUAAUGAUUGUAGGAAGGUGGCUCCUUCGGGAGUGUUAUAGCCUACUUUAGAUGGCGCGACGAGGACUGAGGAUUGCAGCGAAUGCCUUGGCUACGGAUCUUUUCUCUGUUGAUCUUCAGUCGGUUGUCAGCUUGCUGACGAUCGGCUGAUAGGUUUGCAAUAGGAUGGAAUUCGAUAAAUUCGCUAAGGAUGUUGACGUAAUGGCUUUAAAUCGACCCGUCUUGAAACACGGACCAAGGAGUCUAAGCAUAUAUGCGAGUGUUA